ACUCCAGGCCAAACUACAAUAUUCUAGCCUAGCACAACAAACUCCAGGCCAAACUACAAUAUUCUAGCCUAGCACAACACACUCCAGGCUAAUUUACAACAUUCCAGGCUAGCAGAACACACUCCAGACUAAUUUACAACAUUCCAGGCUAGCACAACACACUCCAGGCUAAACUACAACAUUCCAGGCUAGCACAACACACUCCAGGCUAAUUUAAAAAACAUUCCAGGCUAGCACAACACACUCCAGGCUAAUUUACAACAUUCCAGGCUAGCACAACACAUUCCAGGCUAGCAGAACACACUCCAGGCUAAACUACAACAUUCCAGGCUAGCACAACACACUCCAGGCUAAACUACAACAUUCCAGGCUAGCAGAACACACUCCAGGCUAAUUUAAAAAACAUUCCAGGCUAGCAGAACACACUCCAGGCUAAUUUACAACAUUCCAGGCUAGCACAACACACUCCAGGCUAAACUACAACAUUCCAGGCUAGCACAACGCACUCCAGGCUAAACUACAACAUUCCAGGCUAGCAGAACACACUCCAGGAUAAACUACAACAUUCCAGGCUAGCAGAACACAGUCCAGGAUAAACUACAACAUUCCAGGCUAGCACAACACACUCCACGCUAAACUACAACAUUCCAGGCUAGCAGAACACACUCCAGGCUAGCAGAACACACUCCAGGCUAGCACAACACACUCCAGGCUAAACUACAACAUUCCAGGCUAGCACAACGCACUCUCACAGCUAACACACGAGACCAAAAAAUAUCCCACUGUGCAAGCGCACAUAAAACCCUCCAAAAUACACUAAAGCAGUCCAAGUUUAUAUAAAGACUUCCAGCUAACCUACAACAAUCUUAAACCUGAAUCUAAACAAAACUAAAAGUGAAACCCCACACACACACACACACUUCACCACAAUCCUUAAUCCUCCGAACGGCAUUUCACUGCACAUGCACGUACGGUUUACAUUUAGAACACACCGACAUCAGAAAGGCUUUCUUUUCACUGACGUACUCAGAUCGUGUGUCUACACGUCGUAGAAUAACCAGCUCUAUUACUCCAGCCGCUGAAGUGUUUGUGGAGCGGUUUUAACGUCCAGUGAAAGCUGUGUACGCGAGCAGAGAUGGUUAGCGGCGACCCGAGCGCGAGAGUCUGAACGUCUGACCCACUGACAGUAGGUGUGUGACAGAGAGGUUACACAGUCGCCUACACGCCUGAGUGCGUGUCAUUUUACUUCUCAUUCAACGUUCUCUCUCACACACACACACACAAAACGGCAUGUCAUACCGCAUGGUGCUAAACUGGUGACCAGUUCCUUUAACCGAAAGUAACUGGAAGAGGCUCUGUGCUCCGGGGCGAGGCCGCACGCUUAGCGCUCCGAGCUGUUUCCUGCCUUUUAGAGCGGAUGUCAAAGCUGUUUAAUGGGACGGAUGCUGAGCGCAGCAGUUCUCUUUAUGAUCGCCC
Molecule: long non-coding RNA, 1476 nt
Organism: Ictalurus punctatus (channel catfish)
Lineage: Eukaryota; Metazoa; Chordata; Actinopteri; Siluriformes; Ictaluridae
Source: Ensembl